Teladorsagia circumcincta is the source of this 70-nucleotide non-coding RNA. The record is from the annotation of a GenBank genome assembly. NCBI's taxonomy places the organism in Eukaryota, Metazoa, Nematoda, Chromadorea, Rhabditida, Trichostrongylidae.
GGUAGGGAGCCCAGUGGUAGAAUGCUCCUCUGCCACGCGAGCCGCACGAGUUCGAUUCCCGGCCGAUGCA